GGCAAAUACCGAAUAGAUGAUUGUUGAGUUGCGAAUGUCACCGAAAGAGAGGCCCAGCCAGGCAUAUCGCAAUAUUUCAAAAUACAAUCGCGUGAAAACAUCGGUGGAAAAGCAAAUAGCUAUUGCUGUACGGAGAACACCAUGAAAAGACUAAUCUGCCUGUUAUCAAAAUUCUCCAUUUAUUUGAGCGAACAGUAACCUAUUUUAGCGGAGCAUCGGCCGUAUCCCCGCCCUUCGUUUUGUCACCAAUCAGAGAUGUCUAUCUAACUCUCCAUUGUGAUCCGUCGGGUGGACAUCAAUAGCAACACGCAGGCUCUAACACAGGCUAAGAGUCACGGACAUUUGAACUGAGCAUGGAAAAGGUCCUUUCAUUACUCAGCCCCCUUGUCAUGGAAUUUCCCCCCAAGCCAACAUAAAACUCAAGGACCUGGUGUCCCUGGAGGAGGAACGGGUUGUUGAGACAUGUCAUUGUUUCUAGUUGUCACCCCAUGUCAAUCAUUUGCAAUGCCUUAUUUAAGGAAGAACGUUGUUUUACCACACACACACACUGUUUGUUUGCUGGUGUAUUUGUGCUGUUGCCAGUGUCUUCUGUCUGUGUUGUCCGUUUUGGCUUACAAAGUUUUUUUGUCCGAGCCCAGGAGGCUUUUUGCCUCCUGCCAGGCCGUCGUAGUAAGUAAGAAUUUGUUCUUAUUGACUUGCCUGGUUAGAUAAAGGUUAAAUACUUUUUUU
This is a long non-coding RNA of Salmo salar (Atlantic salmon), 729 nucleotides long. RefSeq lists it as uncharacterized. The record is from RefSeq and is a predicted model, not a curated record. NCBI's taxonomy places the organism in Eukaryota, Metazoa, Chordata, Actinopteri, Salmoniformes, Salmonidae.